AACGAACGCUGGCGGCAGGCUUAACACAUGCAAGUCGAGCGCCCCGCCAGGGGAGCGGCAGACGGGUGAGUAACGCGUGGGAACGUACCCUUGUCUUCGGGAUAGCUCCGGGAAACUGGAAUUAAUGCCGAAUGUGCCCUUUGGGGGAAAGAUUUAUCGGAUAAGGAUCGGCCCGCGUUGGAUUAGCUAGUUGGUGGGGUAAAGGCCUACCAAGGCGACGAUCCAUAGCUGGUCUGAGAGGAUGAUCAGCCACAUUGGGACUGAGACACGGCCCAAACUCCUACGGGAGGCAGCAGUGGGGAAUAUUGGACAAUGGGCGCAAGCCUGAUCCAGCCAUGCCGCGUGAGUGAUGAAGGCCUUAGGGUUGUAAAGCUCUUUCACCGGAGAAGAUAAUGACGGUAUCCGGAGAAGAAGCCCCGGCUAACUUCGUG
This 431-nucleotide ribosomal RNA is filed under the name uncultured bacterium. RNAcentral's name for it is "partial 16S ribosomal RNA". It matches the Rfam family "Bacterial small subunit ribosomal RNA", at positions 29 to 507 of the family's 1533-position model. The record is from RNAcentral.